GUCGUCCCCUUGCCAACAAUAAAUCGGUUUGGGUUACAAAAGAGUCUGUGUGUAAAAGCCCACUUACACCACUACAUAUCAUACACAUCGUUGAAUGUUUAAGAAAGAUGCAUAGACAAUGAAUCUGUCGAAAAUUGCCGCAAUUGAAUCUGCCAUUUGAAGAAAAAUUUUAAGAGCGUCAGGAAACAAGUAAACGAAAACCAUUCUGGCAGCACAAUACAAUAUUAAGCAACAAGAACUUAUUAUAUAGGAAAAGUUAAUAGUAAGAAACCAAUUGGUUAUAUAAAUUUUUUAAAAAUGAAUGCUUGGGAUACCGAAG
Molecule: long non-coding RNA, 319 nt
Organism: Bactrocera oleae (olive fruit fly)
Lineage: Eukaryota; Metazoa; Arthropoda; Insecta; Diptera; Tephritidae
Source: RefSeq, a predicted model, not a curated record